CUCAAGUCACAUUCUCUAAAUUAAGCACGUUACUCAUGCUUACCAUAUAGGUACCUGUACCACUCACAACAUGAUUAUUCUUUCUUUAUCAAAAUUGAUCUAUAACUCUCAUCAUUGAAACGUUUGGAAUACUACUGGAUAUUCUAUGAACCUUCAACAUGGGAUAUAUUGUCGAUGCCAUGUCCUAGACAUGGUCUUAC
RNAcentral lists this long non-coding RNA (200 nucleotides) under Gossypium barbadense (sea-island cotton). RNAcentral's name for it is "long non-coding RNA (GBAR_LNC007654)". The record is from RNAcentral. Lineage: Eukaryota; Viridiplantae; Streptophyta; Magnoliopsida; Malvales; Malvaceae.